GCACCCCUUUACAAGUUGCUAAGUGAACUUAUUGUCUUCAUGGGCAGUCCAAUGGACAAAGGACAAACUCAGGAAAGCUUAGCUGUUUGUCUUAUAACCUGUCAGGGGACACAU
This 114-nucleotide small nucleolar RNA is filed under the name Cricetulus griseus (Chinese hamster). RNAcentral describes it as "Small nucleolar RNA SNORA27 (ENSCGRG00001005598.1)". Lineage: Eukaryota; Metazoa; Chordata; Mammalia; Rodentia; Cricetidae. The record is from RNAcentral.